ACGUAGGUGGCAAGCGUUGUCCGGAUUUAUUGGGCGUAAAGCGAGCGCAGGCGGUUCCUUAAGUCUGAUGUGAAAGCCCACGGCUCAACCCCGGGAGGGCAUUGGAAACUGGGGAACUUGAGUGCAGAAGAGGAGAGUGGAAUUCCAUGUGUAGCGGUGAAAUGCGUAGAUAUAGGGAGGAACACCAGUGGCGAAGGCGACUUACUGGUCUGUAACUGACACUGAGGCUCGAAAGCUUGGGGAGCAAACAG
Molecule: ribosomal RNA, 251 nt
Filed under: uncultured prokaryote
Description: partial 16S rRNA
Rfam family: Bacterial small subunit ribosomal RNA
Source: RNAcentral